This 386-nucleotide ribosomal RNA is filed under the name uncultured bacterium. RNAcentral's name for it is "bacterial SSU rRNA". It matches the Rfam family "Bacterial small subunit ribosomal RNA", at positions 30 to 416 of the family's 1533-position model. The record is from RNAcentral.
AUUGAACGCUGGCGGAAUGCUUUACACAUGCAAGUCGAACGGCAGCACGGGUGCUUGCACCUGGUGGCGAGUGGCGAACGGGUGAGUAAUGCACCGGAACGUAUCCAAUAAUGGGGGAUAACGCACCGAAAGGUGUGCUAAUACCGCAUACGCCCUGAGGGGGAAAGCGGGGGAUCGUAAGACCUCGCGUUAAUGGAGCGGCCGAUGCCGGAUUAGCUAGUUGGUGAGGUAAAGGCUCACCAAGGCGACGAUCCGUAGCUGGUCUGAGAGGACGACCAGCCACACUGGAACUGAGACACGGUCCAGACUCCUACGGGAGGCAGCAGUGGGAAUUUUGGACAAUGGCGCAAGCCUGAUCCAGCCAUUCCGCGUGAGUGAAGAAGGCC